Non-coding RNA from Paramuricea clavata, 275 nucleotides. NCBI's taxonomy places the organism in Eukaryota, Metazoa, Cnidaria, Anthozoa, Malacalcyonacea, Plexauridae. The record is from the annotation of a GenBank genome assembly.
GUCUCAAGCUACCCUGUAAGCAAAUUUAUAAGCAGAGGACCCCGGCCCUCCUCCCCCAUUGAAUAUCCAGACCCCUCAAUAAGGUGGGGGGGGGGGUACACAUAUUACAUGGAAUGGCCCAUUAAUAUAGGCCUCCUGUGCACCUAAAUAUUUUGCCUUGGAACACAGAGUGACACAAUUAAUAUAAUUCCAAUUGUGAUUGUUGAGAGUUUUCAAAAUUUUACUCUGAUUGUUGUUUUUGGGUUUUAUUUUUUUUUUUAAAUUUUACAUCUGGG